RNAcentral lists this ribosomal RNA (435 nucleotides) under Proasellus lagari. RNAcentral's name for it is "partial 16S ribosomal RNA". It matches the Rfam family "Bacterial large subunit ribosomal RNA", at positions 1835 to 2560 of the family's 2925-position model. The record is from RNAcentral. Lineage: Eukaryota; Metazoa; Arthropoda; Malacostraca; Isopoda; Asellidae.
CUCUUGAAAUAUUUCAAGUAACCUCUGCCCUAUGAAUAGUUUAAAUGGCCGCAGUACUUUGACUGUGCAAAGGUAGCAUAAUCACUUGUCUCUUAAUUGGGGACUGGAAUGAAGGAGGCGACGAAAUUUAGACUAUUUGGCUUUAAGGUAAAAUUAACAUACAGGUCAAAAGGCCUUUAUAUACCAAAGGGACGAUAAGACCCUAUAAAACUUCACUAUACAACAAGUUAUCUAGCAAAUACUUAAGUUAUAGUUUAACUGGGGCGGUUUAUAUAAAAACAAUUGAAAUAUGAAUAUAUUAAAUAGAUUUAGAGAGCUCUAUUAAGAAAUGACUAAGUUACUUUAGGGAUAACAGCAUAAUUCUCCCAGAGAGUCCUAAUUGGCGGGAGAGCUUAUGACCUCGAUGUUGAAUUGGGAUGUCUAACAUAAGUAGAA